GACGAACGCUGGCGGCGUGCCUAAUACAUGCAAGUAGAACGCUGAAGGAGGAGCUUGCUUCUCUGGAUGAGUUGCGAACGGGUGAGUAACGCGUAGGUAACCUGCCUGGUAGCGGGGGAUAACUAUUGGAAACGAUAGAUAAUACCGCAUAAGAGUAGAUGUUGCAUGACAUUUGCUUAAAAGGUGCAAUUGCAUCACUACCAGAUGGACCUGCGUUGUAUUAGCUAGUUGGUGGGGUAACGGCUCACCAAGGCGACGAUACAUAGCCGACCUGGGAGGGGGAACGGGCAACAUGGGAAUGAGAAAAGGCCCAGACUUCUACGGGAGGCAGCAGGAGGGAAUCUUCGGCAAUGGACGGAAGUCUGACCGAGCAACGCCGCGGGAGUGAAGAAGGGUUUCGGAUCGUAAAGCUCGUUUGUAAGAGAAGAAAGAGGGUGAGAGUGGAAAGUUCACACUGUGACGGUAUCUUACCAGAAAGGGACGGCUAACUACGUG
Molecule: ribosomal RNA, 495 nt
Filed under: uncultured bacterium
Lineage: Bacteria
Description: partial 16S ribosomal RNA
Rfam family: Bacterial small subunit ribosomal RNA
Source: RNAcentral